RNAcentral lists this ribosomal RNA (1095 nucleotides) under uncultured Candidatus Ichthyocystis sp. RNAcentral describes it as "partial 23S ribosomal RNA". It matches the Rfam family "Bacterial large subunit ribosomal RNA", at positions 1 to 1145 of the family's 2925-position model. Lineage: Bacteria; Pseudomonadati; Pseudomonadota; Betaproteobacteria; Burkholderiales. The record is from RNAcentral.
AGGAAUAAGUGCACGAGGUGGAUGCCUUGGCGAUCACAGGCGAAGAAGGACGUGGAAGGCUGCGAAAAGCCCUGACAAGCUGUCAACGAGCGUUAAAGUCAGGGAUGUCCGAAUGGGGGAACCCGGCGUGCGAAGAGUGCGUCACCGUAUGCUGAAUAAAAUAGGCAUAAGGAGCGAACCUGGGGAACUGAAACAUCUAAGUACCCGGAGGAAAAGAAAUCAACCGAGAUUCCCUUAGUAGUGGCGAGCGAAAGGGGAGGAGCCUGUACGAGUUAGCGCGAUCGAGAGUAGAACUAUCUGGGAAGGUAGACGGAACAGGGUGAAAGUCCCGUAUACGGAAGCGAUUGAGUGGGACUAAGCGUACGAAAAGUAGGGCGGGGCACGAGGAACCCUGUCUGAAGAAGGGGGGACCAUCCUCCAAGGCUAAAUACUAGUGAUCGACCGAUAGAGGACAAGUACCGUGAGGGAAAGGUGAAAAGAACCCCGGGAGGGGAGUGAAAUAGAAUCUGAAACGGCGUGCAUACAUAACAGUGGGAGCCGCAAGGUGACUGCGUACCUUUUGUAUAAUGGGUCAGCGAGUUACAUUUACUGGCAAGCUUAACCGAAUAGGGGAGGCGAAGCGAAAGCGAGUUUUAAUAGAGCGAAUAGUCUGUAGAUGUAGACCCGAAACCGGAUGAUCUAUGCAUGACCAGGGUGAAGGUUGGGUAAAACCAACUGGAGGCCCGAACCCACUACUGUUGCAAAAGUAGGGGAUGAGUUGUGGAUAGGGGUGAAAGGCCAAACAAAUCCGGAGAUAGCUGGUUCUCCCCGAAAACUAUUGAGGUAGUGCCUUGUAAAGUGAUUACCUGGGGUAGAGCACUGUAAUGGUUGUGGGGGUCAUUGCGACUUACUUCGCCAUAGCAAACUCCGAAUACAGGUAAUUUGAUUACAGGAGACAGUCCUAGGGUGCUAACGUUCUAGGACAAGAGGGAAACAACCCAGACCGCCAGCUAAGGUCCCAAAGUAAGGUUAAGUGUGAAACGAAGUGGGAAGGCGAAGACAGCCAGGAGGUUGGCUUAGAAGCAGCCAUCCUUUGAAGAAAGCGUAAUAGCUCAC